RNAcentral lists this ribosomal RNA (408 nucleotides) under uncultured bacterium. RNAcentral describes it as "partial 16S ribosomal RNA". It matches the Rfam family "Bacterial small subunit ribosomal RNA", at positions 28 to 526 of the family's 1533-position model. The record is from RNAcentral.
GAUGAACGCUGGCGGCGUGCUUAACACAUGCAAGUCGAACGGAGUGGCGAACGGGUGAGUAACACGUGGGUGAUCUGCCCUGUACUUCGGGAUAAGCUUGGGGAACCGGGUCUAAUACCGGCAAGUAGGGGAUGAGCUCGCGGCCUAUCAGCUUGUUGGUGGGGUAAUGGCAUACCAAGGCGUCGACGGGUAGCCGGCCUGGGAGGGUGUACGGCCACAUUGGGACUGAGAUACGCACCAGACGCCGACGGGAGUCAGCGGUGGGGAAUAUUGCACAAUGGGCGCACGCGUGAUGCAGCGACGCCGGGUGGGGAAUGUAGGUCUUCGGGUGGUAAACUCCUUGCGGUAGGGACGCGGUACCUGGAGAAGAAGCACCGGCUAACUACGUGCCAGCAGCCGCGGUAAUAC